Molecule: ribosomal RNA, 121 nt
Filed under: Escherichia coli
Lineage: Bacteria; Pseudomonadati; Pseudomonadota; Gammaproteobacteria; Enterobacterales; Enterobacteriaceae
Description: partial 23S ribosomal RNA
Rfam family: Bacterial large subunit ribosomal RNA
Source: RNAcentral
CUUGAGAGUCCUGAAGGAACGUUGAAGACGACGACGUUGAUAGGCCGGGUGUGUAAGCGCAGCGAUGCGUUGAGCUAACCGGUACUAAUGAACCGUGAGGCUUAACCUUACAACGCCGAAG